CACGUAGGGUGCGAGCGUUGUCCGGAAUUAUUGGGCGUAAAGAGCUCGUAGGCGGUGUGUCGCGUCGGCCGUGAAAACCUGCAGCUUAACUGUGGGCUUGCGGUCGAUACGGGCAUCACUGGAGUUCGGCAGGGGAGACUGGAAUUCCUGGUGUAGCGGUGAAAUGCGCAGAUAUCAGGAGAAACACCGGUGGCGAAGGCGGGUCUCUGGGCCGAUACUGACGCUGAGGAGCGAAAGCGUGGGGGAGCGAACAGG
Molecule: ribosomal RNA, 255 nt
Filed under: uncultured bacterium
Lineage: Bacteria
Description: partial 16S ribosomal RNA
Rfam family: Bacterial small subunit ribosomal RNA
Source: RNAcentral